UAUUAUUGACAAUUGAGAAUUAAAAUAAUUUUGCGAGCUUUGUUUCUUUUCUUUUGAGUGUUCUAUUGGUUCUACAUCAAACCACAUCACAUUGAUAGUUAUACGACAGUGUACUCGAUAAUUUGAGACAAUAAAUGAGCAUCCCAUUUUAAAAAUGGGUGGGAAGAGGAGAGAGAGACAAAGGAAAAUUUUCCAUAAACUAUGAGCAAAACCAUUCUGACAAUUAUCUGUCCAAAGCUUUGAUUUCUAUCAGGCAAAGCCUUUAUAACCUUACCAAAAUAAUUGGGAUCUAAGAAAAAUCACCCUAUUCUACCAGAACAGUUCCUAGAAUCCAAAAUAUAGUUAAUCUUUAAUUCACAA
This 360-nucleotide unclassified non-coding RNA is filed under the name Hevea brasiliensis (rubber tree). The record is from RNAcentral. Lineage: Eukaryota; Viridiplantae; Streptophyta; Magnoliopsida; Malpighiales; Euphorbiaceae.